UACAGAGGGUGCAAGCGUUGUUCGGAAUUACUGGGCGUAAAGGGUGCGUAGGCGGUUGUUUAAGUCUGUUGUGAAAUCCCCGGGCUCAACCUGGGAAUGGCAAUGGAUACUGGGCAGCUAGAGUGUGUCAGAGGAUGGUGGAAUUCCCGGUGUAGCGGUGAAAUGCGUAGAGAUCGGGAGGAACAUCAGUGGCGAAGGCGGCCAUCUGGGACAACACUGACGCUGAAGCACGAAAGCGUGGGGAGCAAACAGG
RNAcentral lists this ribosomal RNA (253 nucleotides) under uncultured bacterium. RNAcentral describes it as "partial 16S ribosomal RNA". It matches the Rfam family "Bacterial small subunit ribosomal RNA", at positions 524 to 776 of the family's 1533-position model. The record is from RNAcentral.